UCUCCCCCCCUCUCUCUCUUCUACUCUUGUUCUCCCUCCAUCCUCUCUUUAGAGUCACUUCGGGCCUAGUAUAGAAUAGUACAAGGACAUAUCAAACCAUACCACCGAUCGAUCAAUCUAAGUUUUGAUACCGAUAUAGCAAACCUUGAUGCCAAUAGUAUAUACAAAAUAUGUUGAAUAUCAAAUGAAUUAUGAAGAAUGGAUGACCUCAACAAAGCC
This 219-nucleotide long non-coding RNA is filed under the name Elaeis guineensis (African oil palm). RNAcentral describes it as "long non-coding RNA (EGUI_LNC034479)". The record is from RNAcentral. Lineage: Eukaryota; Viridiplantae; Streptophyta; Magnoliopsida; Arecales; Arecaceae.